GUGAGUAGUUCUAGAGUUUGUAGUACCUGGCUCAGGAUAAACGACUGGCGGCGCACAUAAGACAUGCAAGUCGAACGGAAGUCGUUGUAAUGAUAUUGACAUGGACAGAGAACUUGUUCGAAGAAAAUGAAAAUUGACUUACAACAAUGGCUUUAGUGGCGGACUGGUGAGUAACGCGUGAGCAACCUGCCUGUUAGAGGGGAAUAACAGUGAGAAAUCAUUGCUAAUACCGCAUAUGCCAUAGAAGUCACAUGAUUUUAGUGGGAAAGGAGCGAUCCGCUAACAGAUGGGCUCGCGUCUGAUUAGAUAGUUGGUGGGGUAACGGCCUACCAAGUCGACGAUCAGUAGCCGGACUGAGAGGUUGAACGGCCACAUUGGGACUGAGAUACGGCCCAG
RNAcentral lists this ribosomal RNA (396 nucleotides) under uncultured bacterium. RNAcentral describes it as "bacterial SSU rRNA". It matches the Rfam family "Bacterial small subunit ribosomal RNA", at positions 1 to 334 of the family's 1533-position model. The record is from RNAcentral.